RNAcentral lists this ribosomal RNA (522 nucleotides) under uncultured Glomus. Its description in RNAcentral is "SSU rRNA". It matches the Rfam family "Eukaryotic small subunit ribosomal RNA", at positions 569 to 1092 of the family's 1831-position model. The record is from RNAcentral. Lineage: Eukaryota; Fungi; Glomeromycota; Glomeromycetes; Glomerales; Glomeraceae.
AGCAGCCGCGGUAAUUCCAGCUCCAAUAGCGUAUAUUAAAGUUGUUGCAGUUAAAAAGCUCGUAGUUGAAUUUCGGGAUUAGUAAGUUGGUCGUGCCUCUGGUAUGUACUGGCUCUACUGGUUCCUCCUUCUUGAAGAACUGUAAUGUCAUUAAUUUGGUGUUGCAGGGAAACAGGACUGUUACUUUGAAAAAAUUAGAGUGUUUAAAGCAGGCUAACGCUUGAAUACAUUAGCAUGGAAUAAUGAAAUAGGACGUUUGAUCCUAUUUUGUUGGUUUCUAGGAUUGACGUAAUGAUUAAUAGGGAUAGUUGGGGGCAUUAGUAUUCAAUUGUCAGAGGUGAAAUUCUUGGAUUUAUUGAAGACUAACUACUGCGAAAGCAUUUGCCAAGGAUGUUUUCAUUAAUCAAGAACGAAAGUUAGGGGAUCGAAGACGAUCAGAUACCGUCGUAGUCUUAACCAUAAACUAUGCCGACUAGGGAUCGGAUGAUGUUAAUUUUUUAAUGACUCAUUCGGCGCCUUACG